Long non-coding RNA from Cicer arietinum (chickpea), 752 nucleotides. RefSeq lists it as uncharacterized. The record is from RefSeq and is a predicted model, not a curated record. Lineage: Eukaryota; Viridiplantae; Streptophyta; Magnoliopsida; Fabales; Fabaceae.
AAACCUAACUUAAAUCUAAACACUACUUGAUCUUAUCUGAGCAGAGAGUAGCCGCCGCCACGGUUUUCACCUUUCCGAGUCUAUCAUUUUCUAUCUCACUCUCGUCGGAUACGCUGACGGUGGAGCCUCCGUUUACGGCGGACUCUGCCCUCGUACCCGCACUGACCGUGAGAUGGAGAUUGUAUCUAUCGGGUUUAAAGGUUUGACUGGUUUGCCGUCGGUAACCUGCGAUGAAGACUGCCCGCGGUCAGAGCCCCUUUCCUAUUGGUUGGGGCUGUGAAGGCCACGCGGGCUGCCCAAAUAUCAUCAACUUUUGCUUUUGUUUUUUUUUUCUUUUAUUAAAUGAAUGUAAAGAUUUUCGCAUGUGCUUAUUAAUUUUGAACUUUAUUUUACAUUUGUUUUAUUUGUUUUUGCUAUUUGGCAAUUUAUUUUGUGUUGCUGAAUUCAACUAAUUCAUUUGGACUUGUUAGGCCCUCUUUUUAAGGUUCAUAUGCUGCUUGGUGUGCAGCAGUACUUUGAGAGUGAUCCUUGGAACUUAGGGCUGAGUUCUCGAGUGUUUUUAGGUUCCCAAAUUCAUUUUCAUGUUUUCGUUAAUUUGUUAUUCCUUGUACAUAUAAAUAUAAUAAAUUUUCACGUCAAUUGAAUAUACUAUUUAUCUGUUAUGUAUGAUCCAAUUGCUAUGUUCCAGUGGAUAUUCUACAAGUUAGUCAACUCACGAAAUGCAAGAAUGCAACUUGUAUCAUUUUGAUUGA